CCUACGGGUGGCAGCAGUGGGGGAUAUUGCACAAUGGGGGAACCCUUAUGCAGCGACGCCGCGUGGGUGAAGAAGCGCCUCGGCGCGUAAAGCCCUGUCAGCAGGGAAGAAAAUGACGGUACCUGAAGAAGAAGCCCCGGCUAACUACGUGCCAGCAGCCGCGGGAAUACGUAGGGGGCAAGCGUUAGCCGGAUGUACUGGGUGUAAAGGGGGCGCAGAUGGAGAUGCAAGCCAGGAGUGAAAGCCCGGGGCCCAACCCCGUGACUGCUCUUGGAAACGCGUGGCUAGAGUGCAGGAGGGGAAGGCGGAAUUCCUGGUGUAGCGGUGAAAUGCGUAGAUAUCAGGAGGAACACCGGUGGCGAAGGCGGCCUGCUGGACUGCAACUGACGUUGAGGCCCGAAAGCGUGGGGAGCAAACAGGAUUAGAUACCCCAGUAGUC
Molecule: ribosomal RNA, 439 nt
Filed under: uncultured bacterium
Lineage: Bacteria
Description: partial 16S ribosomal RNA
Rfam family: Bacterial small subunit ribosomal RNA
Source: RNAcentral